This 263-nucleotide long non-coding RNA is filed under the name Elaeis guineensis (African oil palm). RNAcentral describes it as "long non-coding RNA (EGUI_LNC061641)". The record is from RNAcentral. Lineage: Eukaryota; Viridiplantae; Streptophyta; Magnoliopsida; Arecales; Arecaceae.
GUUGUAUCUAAAAUUUUUUUUAUUAAUCUACAUCAAUAAGGAUCAAAUUCUUCUCUAAUUAAUAGUAGAAUCAGAGAUCAAAUCUCAAAUCAAUCUGAAUUAAACUUUUGUGGAGGCCUGGAAGUGCAGACCCUCUACUUCGUAUGCAUGCCAAACGCCGCAAGAAAGUAGGAUGAACUCCGAUCGAAUCACCUUCACAACCCAAUCAAAUGAGAGAGGAGAGGUACUAGUGUGACACCUCGCACUAGCAAGGAGGACACCCA